RNAcentral lists this ribosomal RNA (403 nucleotides) under uncultured bacterium. RNAcentral describes it as "bacterial SSU rRNA". It matches the Rfam family "Bacterial small subunit ribosomal RNA", at positions 356 to 774 of the family's 1533-position model. The record is from RNAcentral.
GGGGAAUAUUGGGCAAUGGGGGCAACCCUGACCCAGCGACGCCGCGUGAGGGAAGAAGGCCUUCGGGUCGUAAACCGCUUUUGUACGUGAAGAAGCAGAUGACGGUAGCGUACGAAUAAGUCCCGGCUAACUACGUGCCAGCAGCCGCGGUAAUACGUAGGGGACGAGCGUUGUCCGGAAUUACUGGGCGUAAAGGGCGCGCAGGCUGCGCGUCGAGUCGGCUGUUAAAGAUCCGGGCUUAACCCGGGGAAGCGGUCGAGACCGACGAGCUGGAGUGCUGCAGAGGCAAGUGGAAUUCCCGGUGUAGCGGUGAAAUGCGUAGAUAUCGGGAAGAACACCGGUGGCGAAGGCGACUUGCUGGGCAGCAACUGACGCUGAGGCGCGAAAGCCAGGGGAGCAAACG